GCGGAGGAAAAGAAACUAACAAGGAUUCCCCUAGUAACGGCGAGUGAACCGGGAAGAGCUCAAAUUUGAAAUCUGGCGUGCUCAGUGCGUCCGAGUUGUAAUCUAUAGAGGCGUUUUCCGUGCCGGACUGUGUCUAAGUCCCUUGGAACAGGGUAUCAAAGAGGGUGAUAAUCCCGUACUUGACACAAUGACCGGUGCUCUGUGAUACGUCUUCUACGAGUCGAGUUGUUUGGGAAUGCAGCUCAAAAUGGGUGGUGAGUUCCAUCUAAAGCUAAAUAUUGGCGAGAGACCGAUAGCGAACAAGUACCGUGAGGGAAAGAUGAAAAGCACUUUGGAAAGAGAGUUAAACAGUACGUGAAAUUGUUGAAAGGGAAACGAUUGAAGUCAGUCGUGACUGAGAGGCUCAGCCGGUUCUGCCGGUGUAUUCCCCUCAGUCGGGUCAACAUCAGUUUUGUUCGGUGGAUAAGGGCAGCUGGAAGGUGGCACCUCCGGGUGUGUUAUAGCCAGCUGUCGCAUACAUCGAAUGAGACUGAGGAAUGCAGCUCGCCUUUAUGGCCGGGGUUCGCCCACGUCCGAGCUUAGGAUGUUGACAUAAUGGCUUUAAACGACCCGUCUU
This 616-nucleotide ribosomal RNA is filed under the name Papiliotrema terrestris. Its description in RNAcentral is "LSU rRNA". It matches the Rfam family "Eukaryotic large subunit ribosomal RNA", at positions 50 to 655 of the family's 3401-position model. The record is from RNAcentral. Lineage: Eukaryota; Fungi; Basidiomycota; Tremellomycetes; Tremellales; Rhynchogastremaceae.